GACGAACGCUGGCGGCGUGCUUAACACAUGCAAGUCGAACGGAAAGGCCCUGCUUUUGUGGGGUGCUCGAGUGGCGAACGGGUGAGUAACACGUGAGUAACCUGCCCUUGACUUUGGGAUAACUUCAGGAAACUGGGGCUAAUACCGGAUAGGAGCUCCUGCUGCAUGGUGGGGGUUGGAAGGUUUCGGCGGUUGGGGAUGGACUCGCGGCUUAUCAACUUGUUGGUGGGGUAGUGGCUUACCAAGGCUUUGACGGGUAGCCGGCCUGAGAGGGUGACCGGCCACAUUGGGACUGAGAUACGGCCCAGACUCCUACGGGAGGCAGCAGUGGGGAAUAUUGCACAAUGGGCGGAAGCCUGAUGCAGCAACGCCGCGUGCGGGAUGACGGCCUUCGGGUUGUAAACCGCUUUCGCCUGUGACGAAGCGUGAGUGACGGUAAUGGGUAAAGAAGCACCGGCUAACUACGUG
Molecule: ribosomal RNA, 468 nt
Filed under: uncultured bacterium
Lineage: Bacteria
Description: partial 16S ribosomal RNA
Rfam family: Bacterial small subunit ribosomal RNA
Source: RNAcentral